CACCAAUUUCUGCCCACCGAACAACGCCCUCCCUAACAAUGCUGGAGGCUGGUGCAACCCUCCCCAGAAUCAUUUUGAUCUCUCUCAGCCUGUCUUCCAGCGAAUUGCUCGGUUUAGAGCAGGGAUUGUGCCUGUAUCUUAUAGAAGGGUACCAUGCGGAAGGAAAGGAGGAAUCAGAUUCACAAUCAAUGGGCACUCAUACUUCAACCUAGUCCUAAUAACCAACGUUGGGGGUGCGGGUG
Molecule: unclassified non-coding RNA, 242 nt
Filed under: Hevea brasiliensis (rubber tree)
Lineage: Eukaryota; Viridiplantae; Streptophyta; Magnoliopsida; Malpighiales; Euphorbiaceae
Source: RNAcentral